This 447-nucleotide ribosomal RNA is filed under the name uncultured bacterium. RNAcentral's name for it is "bacterial SSU rRNA". It matches the Rfam family "Bacterial small subunit ribosomal RNA", at positions 330 to 792 of the family's 1533-position model. The record is from RNAcentral.
CCCAGACUCCUACGGGAGGCAGCAGUGGGGAAUAUUGCACAAUGGGGGGAACCCUGAUGCAGCGACGCCGCGUGAGUGAAGACGGCCUUUGGGUUGUAAAGCUCUGUCAAUCGGGACGAAGAAGAUGACGGUACCCAAAGAGGAAGCUCCGGCUAACUACGUGCCAGCAGCCGCGGUAAUACGUAGGGAGCGAGCGUUGUCCGGAAUUACUGGGUGUAAAGGGAGCGUAGGCGGGGAUGCAAGUUGGAUGUUUAAACUAUCGGCUCAACCGGUAAUUGCAACCAAAACUGCAACUCUUGAGUGAAGUAGAGGCAGGCGGAAUUCCUAGUGUAGCGGUGAAAUGCGUAGAUAUUAGGAGGAACACCAGUGGCGAAGGCGGCCUGCUGGGCUUUAACUGACGCUGAGGCUCGAAAGCGUGGGGAGCAAACAGGAUUAGAUACCCCCGUA